RNAcentral lists this ribosomal RNA (176 nucleotides) under uncultured bacterium. RNAcentral's name for it is "partial 16S ribosomal RNA". It matches the Rfam family "Bacterial small subunit ribosomal RNA", at positions 335 to 526 of the family's 1533-position model. The record is from RNAcentral.
AUUCCUACGGGAGGCAGCAGUGAGGAAUAUUGCACAAUGGGCGAAAGCCUGAUGCAGCAACGCCGCGUGAGGGACGAAGGCCUUCGGGUCGUAAACCUCUUUUCUGGGGAAAGAGCAAGGACGGUACCUCAGGAAUAAGUCUCGGCUAACUACGUGCCAGCAGCCGCGGUAAUAAU